Molecule: microRNA, 22 nt
Filed under: Homo sapiens (human)
Lineage: Eukaryota; Metazoa; Chordata; Mammalia; Primates; Hominidae
Description: hsa-miR-5193
Source: miRBase by way of RNAcentral
UCCUCCUCUACCUCAUCCCAGU